This 339-nucleotide long non-coding RNA is filed under the name Canis lupus dingo (dingo). RNAcentral describes it as "lncRNA (ENSCAFG00020026034.1)". Lineage: Eukaryota; Metazoa; Chordata; Mammalia; Carnivora; Canidae. The record is from RNAcentral.
AACAACAGGCAUCACCAAAUACUUCUAAAAAGGGAUGACAAGGUGAAGAAUCUCACAGCUUUAGGUCAUCCAGACUUAAGAAUAUACAAAAUGCCUGAUUCUUGAUGGAUAUUUAGAUUUUACUGAUGGAUAACCAUAAGCCUGAACUCUACUACUGGAGAAUCAGUGCCACAUUUCCCUCCACUAAGGACUGCUCAUGGAGUGGUGUGAAUUUGUGGAACAUGUUCCAGUCUUUAAAACUGUGAUCUAGAAAACACAUGUAAUAUUGUAACUGACUUUCGGUGACUGAGGAUCGGUUUACCUGCAAUCUUCUCUUUUGUCCUGGGAUCGAGGAGCAGA